RNAcentral lists this ribosomal RNA (494 nucleotides) under uncultured bacterium. RNAcentral describes it as "bacterial SSU rRNA". It matches the Rfam family "Bacterial small subunit ribosomal RNA", at positions 34 to 507 of the family's 1533-position model. The record is from RNAcentral.
CGCUGGCGGCGUGCCUAAUACAUGCAAGUCGAGCGGAAUGAUGAAGAAGCUUGCUUCUUCUGAUUUUAGCGGCGGACGGGUGAGUAACACGUGGGCAACCUACCUUGUAGAUUGGGAUAACUCCGGGAAACCGGGGCUAAUACCGAAUAAUCCAUUUUGCUUCAUGGCGAGAUGUUAAAAGGCGGCUUCGGCUGUCACUACGAGAUGGGCCCGCGGCGCAUUAGCUAGUUGGUAGGGUAAUGGCCUACCAAGGCGACGAUGCGUAGCCGACCUGAGAGGGUGAUCGGCCACACUGGGACUGAGACACGGCCCAGACUCCUACGGGAGGCAGCAGUAGGGAAUCUUCCACAAUGGACGAAAGUCUGAUGGAGCAACGCCGCGUGAGUGAAGAAGGUUUUCGGAUCGUAAAACUCUGUUGUAAGGGAAGAGCACGUACGAGAGUAACUGCUCGUACCUUGACGGUACCUUAUUAGAAAGCCACGGCUAACUACGUG